AUUGAACGCUGGCGGCAGGCCUAACACAUGCAAGUCGAGAGGAGCGGCGGACGGGUGAGUAAUGCCUAGUUAUCUGCCUCGUAGCGGGGGUUAACGUCCGGAAACGGGCGCUAAUACCGCAUACUAUCAGACGAGCCUAGGUCGGAUUAGCUAGUUGGUGGGGUAAAGGCCUACCAAGGCGACGCUCCGUAACUGGUCUGAGAGGAUGAUCAGUCACACUGUGACUGGGACACGGUCCAGGCUCCUACGGGAGGCAGCAGUGGGGAAUAUUGGACAAUGGGCGAAAGCCUGAUCCAGCCAUGCCGCGUGUGUGAAGAAGGUCUUCGGAUUGUAAAGCACUUUAAGUUGGGAAGCGUUACCAACAGAAUAAGCACCGGCUAACUUCGUGCCAGCAGCCGCGGUAAUAC
This 407-nucleotide ribosomal RNA is filed under the name uncultured bacterium. RNAcentral describes it as "partial 16S ribosomal RNA". It matches the Rfam family "Bacterial small subunit ribosomal RNA", at positions 30 to 526 of the family's 1533-position model. The record is from RNAcentral.